RNAcentral lists this long non-coding RNA (313 nucleotides) under Fukomys damarensis (Damara mole-rat). Its description in RNAcentral is "lncRNA (ENSFDAG00000030615.1)". Lineage: Eukaryota; Metazoa; Chordata; Mammalia; Rodentia; Bathyergidae. The record is from RNAcentral.
CCAGCCCCGAGCCGGGGUCUGCGGUGCGCCCCGCACUUCGGCUUCGCCCAUUUCUGGUCAGUUUCGCCGGCGCGGCCGCGGUGGGCUGUGGGAGAGGCCGGACCGCCCAGGACCACACCGCAGCCUAACUGCUGGCCUCUCCGCUAGAGAGGCUCAGAAAGCAGAGACCCGGAGCACAGCUUCGACCUCUCCUUGUCGGAAGAGUGGAGGUCCUAUUCCAAGGGGCCGGUCUCUCUAAAUAUGCCCGAGGAUGACCGAGAGGCCGCCCAGCGAGGCGGCACGCAGUGACCCCCAGCUAGAGGGACGGGACGCG